GGGCUGGCCGAGGACAGCCGCCGGAUUGGGCCCUCGCUGCUCGGCCGAGGUGCGCGGACACCGUGCGUCCCGCUGCAGCGUUCGCCUACUCGGAAUGAAGCUUGCCGCACUCGCUUGGGGGAAGCACGUUCUCGACGGCAGCUCUGUUCUGCGGGGUGCUCCCCGGGGGACGGGACAGCCACGGGGAGCGCUACUGCGGCCCCACGUCGGCUCCCGCAUGCCUUCGGCCCGCGGUGCCAGCUACGACCCUUGCGAGCUGCGAUGGGACGGGACGGGAAGGGACGGGACAGGAUGGAGCGGCAUUGUUUUCCACGCUGGGAAGCGCGCAGCGCAGCGCCCGCUGUGACGGGCUCUCUCACGGCCUCCUCUUCAAACCUGUGCUCCCCCCUCAACGUCAUCACCAGCCGAGCAGCUACGCAGAAGCUCUGGGGAAGCGUUUCCCCGCCCUGCCCUCGGGCACCGCCGCGCUGUACGGGAGCACAGCGUUUGUGCCGGUGGGGGGCGGCAGCGGGCCGAGAGCGCUGCAGUGGCUGUGGCUGAGCUCCGGGACCGGGUGGGGUCCGGGAGUGACCGCGAGGGACUCUGCCCAUCCCGGUGCGUGUGCGCGCCGCGUCGGCAGAGGAAAAGCAGCUCAGGGGCAUUUGCGAGACCGUCAGGAUCUCUCUCCACCUCGGAAGGUGCCUCUGGUCCGGCUCCGCAUCGCGCGUCGAGCGGCGGGGAUGGGGAUGGCAGGCGUGCAGGUGCAGGAGCCGCGGCCCCUUCCCUGUCCUCCUAUCCCGCCCCUAUUCCCAGGGGAUUUAUUAGCAGGGUUCGGGCGGGCUAACCAAACGGCAGCCCCGGGUGCGAAUUCCCCGGAAGAAUGCUUUGAUCGUGCCCUCUCUUCGCGCCGUCGGGAACGGAUUACAUCGCCAAACGCGGGAGCUCCCGCCGCUUGUUUGGUCAGAGAUGUUACCCGUUAAUCUGAAACAAAUUGCCGCUGCCCUGGGGGCCCGCAGUGCGCGGGUAUGGCCGGGUUUCCCUGCCUGCUGUUGGGAGAGUGCGCAAAUAUCUCGGGUGGUGAUAGUGGCAGGGAAAAAGUAAAAAUAAAUAAUAAAAAUAAAUACUAAAAAUAAGAAAAUAACUUUUUUUUUCCGUUAAAAAGCGAUUUGUUUUGCGGCUGUCUUCCAUUAAAACGUGGGUUUGUUUCUCGUGUCACUCUCUGUCAAUCUGUUGUAAGCUGUGCUUUCAGCAAGGUGAAUCUCGGUGAGAUUGUUGUCUGCAGCACAGAUCCUUCAGAAUGGUUUCUGUGUUAAAACGAUUUAAAUGAGCAAGUUUCAACUUUUUGUCCUCUUGUGUUUUAAAUAAGCAUGUUUUUGUGGGUUUUUUUUCUUUUUUUUUUUUUUUUUUUAAUACAUCUCCACUUUAUGUACUGGUAAGCACCUUUAUAGAAAGAGGAGGAAUUUUCUGUUAGCCUUGCACGACAAGUAAAUGUAAUAAAACCAUAUAAUAAAGAUGUAAGAAAUGUCGACAGCAAUGUGUUCUGUAUAGCAUGAUAUGGAAGAAAAUUUUAUUGACUGUGAGAGUGAUUCCACUGCCUUUGUAGGAAUGUUUACUUUGGCAAGGAGGGCAAGGGUUAGCCUUUAUGGGGAAGCUUGUGCAUCACAUUAGGACAAUCUCCAGCCGUGUAAAACCGGAUUGAAAUCAAAAGUGGUAAAGGUGACUGGAGUGCUUGCAAAACAGAAUUGCCACAGCAAGCAAGUGAGAGAACACCAAUCAGAAAUUUGGAGGAAUAGGCAGGAGGUCUCCCCCAGGCACAGCCAGUUUGGGGUGCACAGAACGCAACAGCUUCCCAACAGCAGCUUCUUUCACCCUGCAGCAGCCUUGGAGAAAUCAGCUCCUGGAGAUGAGCUGUGGAGACAGGGCAGGUUUGCCCUCCGUGGUGGGCCCUGCUGCAGCAGGGCUGUACCAGGAGCAUGCUCUGGCUGUGGCUCUAUGAACGAGAUUCAC
This 1986-nucleotide long non-coding RNA is filed under the name Meleagris gallopavo (turkey). RNAcentral's name for it is "lncRNA (ENSMGAG00000022678.1)". The record is from RNAcentral. Lineage: Eukaryota; Metazoa; Chordata; Aves; Galliformes; Phasianidae.